This 419-nucleotide ribosomal RNA is filed under the name bacterium. RNAcentral's name for it is "partial 16S ribosomal RNA". It matches the Rfam family "Bacterial small subunit ribosomal RNA", at positions 355 to 776 of the family's 1533-position model. The record is from RNAcentral.
UGGGGGAUAUUGCACAAUGGGCGAAAGCCUGAUGCAGCGACGCCGCGUGGGGGAUGAAGGCCUUCGGGUUGUAAACCUCUUUUGCUCUGAACAAGGCGCACCAUGGGGUGUGUUGAGUGUAGGGGUUGAUUAGCGCCGGCUAACUACGUGCCAGCAGCCGCGGUAAUACGUAGGGCGCGAGCGUUGUCCGGAAUUAUUGGGCGUAAAGGGCUUGUAGGUGGCUGGUUGCGUCUGUCGUGAAAGCUCAUGGCUUAACUGUGGGUUUGCGGUGGGUACGGGCUGGCUUGAGUGCAGUAGGGGAGGCUGGAAUUCCUGGUGUAGCGGUGGAAUGCGCAGAUAUCAGGAGGAAUACCGGUGGCGAAGGCGGGUCUCUGGGCUGUUACUGACACUGAGGAGCGAAAGCAUGGGGAGCGAACAGG